UAACGUUGAUCAUUUAUUGUACACGUUUAUCGUUUAAUUAGGUAUAGGUAAUAGAUAAUACCUAUUACGUGUUAUGACAGCUUUAUUAUUAUCUCUUAGAGUAUUAGGCGUAAAUAUAAAGAAAAACCAAUAUUUAAAAUAUUGAAAAGUAUGUUAUUAUUAAAUAACAAAUUAGAUCGUAAUUAUCAUAUAAUUAAAAAACCAAUUUUAAAAUUAAAAAAAUAUUAUUUUUAUUAAAAAUUAUUUACAAAAAUCGUAUAAGUUUGAAUUAUUAUAUUAUUUAUUAUAUAAUAAUUAUAAUUAUUAUUGUAUUUAUUAUUUAUUAUAUUUACCAUAACAAUUAUUUAUAGAAAGUAACGUCAACUGAUUUAAAAACAUUAGAAUGUGCUAUUGAGAAUUUGUGUUCGGAAAAAAAUAAACUUAUUAUUGAAAAAUCAAAAAUCACUGAAUUGAAGACUGAACUUAAUUGUUACCAAAAAGUAAGUAAAAUACCAAAGAUGUAGUGUUAAUACUGUUUAAAGAAGAAUACCACCUUUGAUCAAGUAAAUUAAAUGUUGUAAUUGAUUUUAGCAUUUAAAUGAUCUUGAAGGAGUAACAAAAAGUACAACAACGGAAAAAGUUAAAGAAUCGGAGGCAGCUAAACAGCUGCUUAAGGGACUAAACAAAAUAAUAACUGACAUAGAUCAGGUAUUCAAAAAGUUAGAGGAAAAAGAAUUAGUCGGUACAAAGAUUACUAUAGAUUGUGAGUAUAUCAAGAUUGACGAACUAAUUACAGCAGUACGAAAAUUACAAAAUGUACCCGAUGAACACAAGAUACAACAAAUCAUUCAAGUUUUAUCUAAAAUUGACAGCGAUCAUGAUGGUUUAAUUAAAUUAAAUACUUUGUUAAAAGUGCUGCAUCUGUUUUGUAAUGAAAAUAUGGAUUUAUCCAAUGCAACAAUGGAUAUGAUUACAGUUAUUAAAGAGGAGUGUAUGGAAAAAAGUGAU
Long non-coding RNA from Aphis gossypii (cotton aphid), 987 nucleotides. RefSeq lists it as uncharacterized. NCBI's taxonomy places the organism in Eukaryota, Metazoa, Arthropoda, Insecta, Hemiptera, Aphididae. The record is from RefSeq and is a predicted model, not a curated record. The transcript is spliced from 3 exons.